Long non-coding RNA from Pongo pygmaeus (Bornean orangutan), 527 nucleotides. RefSeq lists it as uncharacterized. The transcript has 3 exons. The record is from RefSeq and is a predicted model, not a curated record. Lineage: Eukaryota; Metazoa; Chordata; Mammalia; Primates; Hominidae.
AGAAGAAAUUCUUUUGGAUUUUCAUGGGGAGAAACCAAGAAGAGUUCUUCAGAAACUCAGAUUUAAAAAUUCCUUUUCUAGAGAAUUAAAAUAUAUUAAUAACAGAUUUGACUUUAGAUAAAUGUCACACUCCAGUAAAGAGACUUUAAGAAUUACUCAGUAAUCAAACCAUGUGAAUUCAAUGGUCUAUAUGCUUGGAAUCUUAAGAAAUUACUGAUGAUGACAUUGGCUGUCUCGGUUUUAGGAACCGCCAGAAAUAGCCACUAACCAAGAGAAAGAGAGCAAGGACUAGCCCUGAAUAAUUGGUCAACAAUGCUGAUUUCGUUGGUUUCCUGUUCCUUUUGCUUCCUGGAAAAUACAGACCUACAAAGCAAACAUUGUGUGUGGGUUGAUGCUACAGCAUCGUCUGAACUUGGAAGGAUGAUCGUGGAUUCUGAUGCCUCGUGGUCUCACUACAGGUCUAAUUUUCAUGUGUUUUAGGAGUCUUGGGAUUAGGUUAUGAACUCUGACUCUGGGCAAAUGGAAAC